Molecule: transfer RNA, 80 nt
Filed under: Cervus elaphus hippelaphus
Lineage: Eukaryota; Metazoa; Chordata; Mammalia; Artiodactyla; Cervidae
Description: tRNA-Met
Source: RNAcentral
AACAGAGUAGUACAACAGAAGACUGCUGGGCCCCCAAGCCAGAGAGGCAGAGAGGAGUGGACUAAAACCAUCUUCUGCUA